This 465-nucleotide ribosomal RNA is filed under the name uncultured bacterium. Its description in RNAcentral is "bacterial SSU rRNA". It matches the Rfam family "Bacterial small subunit ribosomal RNA", at positions 338 to 795 of the family's 1533-position model. The record is from RNAcentral.
CCUACGGGAGGCACCAGUGGGGGAUAUUGCACAAUGGGCGCAAGCCUGAUGCAGCCAUGCCGCGUGUGCGAAGAAGGCCUUCGGGUUGUAAAGCACUUUCAGCGGGGAGGAAGGCGAUAAGGUUAAUAACCUUGUCGAUUGACGUUACCCGCAGAAGAAGCACCGGCUAACUCCGUGCCAGCAGCCGCGGUAAUACGGAGGGUGCAGGCGUUAAUCGGAAUUAUUGGGCGUAAAGCGCACGCAGGCGGUCUGUCAAGUCGGAUGUGAAAUCCCCGGGCUCAACCUGGGAACUGCAUUCGAAACUGGCAGGCUAGAGUCUUGUAGAGGGGGGUAGAAUUCCAGGUGUAGCGGUGAAAUGCGUAGAGAUCUGGAGGAAUACCGGUGGCGAAGGCGGCCCCCUGGGCAAAGACUGACGCUCAGGUGCGAAAGCGUGGGGAGCAAACAGGAUUAGAUACCCUCGUAGUC